AACUGUGUGGCGAAGUGGAAUCGCAUUGGGCUCAUAACCCAAAGGUCAAUGGAUCGAAACCAUUCUCAGUUU
Molecule: transfer RNA, 72 nt
Filed under: Paramecium tetraurelia
Lineage: Eukaryota; Ciliophora; Oligohymenophorea; Peniculida; Parameciidae
Description: tRNA-Met for anticodon CAU
Rfam family: tRNA
About the family: Transfer RNA (tRNA) molecules are approximately 80 nucleotides in length.
Source: Rfam by way of RNAcentral